RNAcentral lists this ribosomal RNA (474 nucleotides) under uncultured organism. Its description in RNAcentral is "partial 16S ribosomal RNA". It matches the Rfam family "Bacterial small subunit ribosomal RNA", at positions 335 to 800 of the family's 1533-position model. The record is from RNAcentral.
ACUCCUACGGGAGGCAGCAGUGGGGAAUUUUGGACAAUGGGCGAAAGCCUGAUCCAGCAAUGCCGCGUGAGUGAAGAAGGCCUUCGGGUUGUAAAGCUCUUUUGUCAGGGAAGAAACGGUGAGAGCUAAUAUCUCUUGCUAAUGACGGUACCUGAAGAAUAAGCACCGGCUAACUACGUGCCAGCAGCCGCGGUAAUACGUAGGGUGCAAGCGUUAAUCGGAAUUACUGGGCGUAAAGCGUGCGCAGGCGGUUUUGUAAGUCUGAUGUGAAAUCCCCGGGCUCAACCUGGGAAUUGCAUUGGAGACUGCAAGGCUAGAAUCUGGCAGAGGGGGGUAGAAUUCCACGUGUAGCAGUGAAAUGCGUAGAUAUGUGGAGGAACACCGACGGCGAAGGCAGCCCCCUGGGUCAAGAUUGACGCUCAUGCACGAAAGCGUGGGGAGCAAACAGGAUUAGAAACCCCAGUAGUCCCAUGA